CUACGGGACGCAGCAGUGAGGAAUAUUGCACAAUGGGGGGAACCCUGAUGCAGCAACGCCGCGUGGAGGAUGACGCAUUUCGGUGUGUAAACUCCUUUUAUAUGUCAAGAAAAUGACGGUAGCAUAUGAAUAAGCACCGGCUAACUCCGUGCCAGCAGCCGCGGUAAUAAGGAGGGUGCAAGCGUUACUCGGAAUCACUGGGCGUAAAAGGACGCGUAGGCGGGUUGGAAAGUCAGGUGUGAAAUCCUACAGCUUAACUGUAGAACUGCACUUGAAACUUCUAAUCUAGAGUAUGGGAGGGGGAGAUGGAAUUAGUGGUGUAGGGGUAAAAUCCGUAGAUAUCACUAGGAAUACCUAAAGCGAAGGCGAUCUCCUGGAACAUUACUGACGCUAAGGCGUGAAAGCGUGGGGAGCAAACAGGAUUAGAUACCCCUGUAGUC
This 440-nucleotide ribosomal RNA is filed under the name uncultured bacterium. Its description in RNAcentral is "partial 16S ribosomal RNA". It matches the Rfam family "Bacterial small subunit ribosomal RNA", at positions 339 to 795 of the family's 1533-position model. The record is from RNAcentral.